RNAcentral lists this small RNA (827 nucleotides) under uncultured Chaetomium. RNAcentral describes it as "eukaryotic LSU rRNA". The stretch from base 553 to 827 matches the Rfam family "Eukaryotic large subunit ribosomal RNA", at positions 1 to 281 of the family's 3401-position model. Lineage: Eukaryota; Fungi; Ascomycota; Sordariomycetes; Sordariales; Chaetomiaceae. The record is from RNAcentral.
CUUGGUCAUUUAGAGGAAGUAAAAGUCGUAACAAGGUCUCCGUUGGUGAACCAGCGGAGGGAUCAUUACAGAGUUGCAAAACUCCCUAAACCAUUGUGAACGUUACCUUCAAACCGUUGCUUCGGCGGGCGGCCCGGGUCCGCCCGGUGCCCCCUGGCCCCCUAGCGGGGCGCCCGCCGGAGGAAACCCAACUCUUGAUUAUUAUGGCCUCUCUGAGUCUUCUGUACUGAAUAAGUCAAAACUUUCAACAACGGAUCUCUUGGUUCUGGCAUCGAUGAAGAACGCAGCGAAAUGCGAUAAGUAAUGUGAAUUGCAGAAUUCAGUGAAUCAUCGAAUCUUUGAACGCACAUUGCGCCCGCCAGUAUUCUGGCGGGCAUGCCUGUUCGAGCGUCAUUUCAACCAUCAAGCCCCAGGCUUGUGUUGGGGACCUGCGGCUGCCGCAGGCCCUGAAAACCAGUGGCGGGCUCGCUGUCACACCGGGCGUAGUAGAUUUUAUCUCGCUCAGGGCGUGCUGCGGGUUCCGGCCGUUAAAAAGCCUUUUUUACCCAAGGUUGACCUCGGAUCAGGUAGGAAUACCCGCUGAACUUAAGCAUAUCAAUAAGCGGAGGAAAAGAAACCAACAGGGAUUGCCCCAGUAACGGCGAGUGAAGCGGCAACAGCUCAAAUUUGAAAUCUGGCUUCGGCCCGAGUUGUAAUUUGCAGAGGAAGCUUUAGGCGCGGCACCAUCUGAGUCCCCUGGAACGGGGCGCCACAGAGGGUGAGAGCCCCGUAUAGAUGGACGCCUAGCCUGUGUAAAGCUCCUUCGACGAGUCGAGUUGUUUGGGAAU